UACGUAGGGGGCUAGCGUUGUCCGGAUUUAUUGGGCGUAAAGAGCGUGUAGGCGGCCAGGUAGGUCUGCUGUGAAAACUCGAGGCUCAACCUCGAGACGUCGGCGGAAACCAUCUGGCUAGAGUCCGGAAGAGGAGAGUGGAAUUCUCGGUGUAGCGGUGAAAUGCGUAGAUAUCGAGAGGAACACCUGCGGCGAAGGCGGGUUGCUGGGCCGACACUGACGCUGAGGCGCGAAAGCUAGGGGAGCGAACGGG
RNAcentral lists this ribosomal RNA (253 nucleotides) under uncultured bacterium. RNAcentral describes it as "partial 16S ribosomal RNA". It matches the Rfam family "Bacterial small subunit ribosomal RNA", at positions 524 to 776 of the family's 1533-position model. The record is from RNAcentral.